GCAUGCACAAUGAUGAUUACACCUUCAAAAUUAUACAGUUAUCCCUGUCUGAAGAAGGAUAACUUCUAUGUUGAAUCAAAAUAUCUGACCGCAAUC
RNAcentral lists this small nucleolar RNA (96 nucleotides) under Diaporthe ampelina. RNAcentral describes it as "Small nucleolar RNA R38". It matches the Rfam family "Small nucleolar RNA R38". Rfam says of the family: snoR38 is a C/D box small nucleolar RNA conserved across yeast, human, Arabidopsis and rice. The record is from Rfam by way of RNAcentral. Lineage: Eukaryota; Fungi; Ascomycota; Sordariomycetes; Diaporthales; Diaporthaceae.